RNAcentral lists this ribosomal RNA (681 nucleotides) under Kitasatospora albolonga. RNAcentral describes it as "bacterial SSU rRNA". It matches the Rfam family "Bacterial small subunit ribosomal RNA", at positions 66 to 764 of the family's 1533-position model. The record is from RNAcentral. Lineage: Bacteria; Bacillati; Actinomycetota; Actinomycetes; Kitasatosporales; Streptomycetaceae.
ACGAUGAAGCCUUUCGGGGUGGAUUAGUGGCGAACGGGUGAGUAACACGUGGGCAAUCUGCCCUUCACUCUGGGACAAGCCCUGGAAACGGGGUCUAAUACCGGAUAAUACUCCUGCCUGCAUGGGUGGGGGUUGAAAGCUCCGGCGGUGAAGGAUGAGCCCGCGGCCUAUCAGCUUGUUGGUGGGGUAAUGGCCUACCAAGGCGACGACGGGUAGCCGGCCUGAGAGGGCGACCGGCCACACUGGGACUGAGACACGGCCCAGACUCCUACGGGAGGCAGCAGUGGGGAAUAUUGCACAAUGGGCGAAAGCCUGAUGCAGCGACGCCGCGUGAGGGAUGACGGCCUUCGGGUUGUAAACCUCUUUCAGCAGGGAAGAAGCGCAAGUGACGGUACCUGCAGAAGAAGCGCCGGCUAACUACGUGCCAGCAGCCGCGGUAAUACGUAGGGCGCAAGCGUUGUCCGGAAUUAUUGGGCGUAAAGAGCUCGUAGGCGGCUUGUCACGUCGGAUGUGAAAGCCCGGGGCUUAACCCCGGGUCUGCAUUCGAUACGGGCUAGCUAGAGUGUGGUAGGGGAGAUCGGAAUUCCUGGUGUAGCGGUGAAAUGCGCAGAUAUCAGGAGGAACACCGGUGGCGAAGGCGGAUCUCUGGGCCAUUACUGACGCUGAGGAGCGAAAGCGUGG